Molecule: long non-coding RNA, 1033 nt
Organism: Lathyrus oleraceus (garden pea)
Lineage: Eukaryota; Viridiplantae; Streptophyta; Magnoliopsida; Fabales; Fabaceae
Exons: 2
Source: RefSeq, a predicted model, not a curated record
CAGUCUCCUUUCUAUCUCUUACUCUCUGCUUUAUCUUUUUCUCUGACAUCUCUCUACCUCUCUUUAUGACCACCCUUUUAUCCACCUUAACUCACCUCCCGGACCACCAUCUUCAACCGGAAUUUUCAUGUUCAUCAUGAACAUGAAGAAUACUCAACCCAGAAACUGACCACCACCGUCCCCCUCCCCGGAACCUCCGCAUUACCCAGAUCUCUUGUUGAAGCUCAAUCAGGAUAUUCAACUGGUGUUCAUCUGGAUGAUGAACACCUACGUAAAAUUCUUCAUAUUCCCAGAACCCUGAUGAACCCUAACCCUAUUCUUGAACCCUAACCCUUCCUAGAUGAACCCUAACCCUUCCUAGAUGAACCCUAGGGUUCAUCACAUGAACCCUAACCCUAUUAACAUGAACACUAACCCUGAUUUUUCAAAAAACACCAAACUUACCAAGAGCAAAUAACAAACCCUGACCGAUCCAUAUAUCAGCCUUCCCCACACCCCAAUCAAACCCUCGAUCUAUCGAAAUCAACCCUAACUUCUUCUAACCCUAAUCAAAUUUAAAAAAUCACAAUAGUUUAGAGCAAAAAACAAUCAGAGCAAACAACAGCCAAAGGCAAUGCAUGAAGGUAUGAAGACCAACCUACGAAAUGGAGAUGUAUUCCAGUGAAAAGGUCCUUACUAGUCAAGGAUGAAGGCUAAGCUUAGAGAAAUCAGAGUUUCAAUUUGAAACCCUAAUCCUGCUUUGAUUCAAGCUCUGGUGUGGGAUUGGAAUUGCAGCUACAAUAGAAAAGUUUUUUUUAGGGUUCUCUUUUUUCAUCCUUGUUCAUCUGAUUUCUUCUGUAUUUUUAGGUUUUUUUAGGUUAUAGAUUUUAAUUUGAUUGAUGUAUUUUAGGAUUUUUAUAUUUGAGUUUUUAUUAGAAAAUACAAUUUUUUAUCUAAUUGGAUUUGAUUCUGAUUGUAAGUUACUUUGCAGUUAAUUCUGAUUUGUAACAAUAAAUUUGAUUUGUAUAAACAUUUGAUUCAUAUUUUUCAAGCA